RNAcentral lists this long non-coding RNA (35857 nucleotides) under Setaria viridis. Its description in RNAcentral is "long non-coding RNA (SVIR_LNC005663)". The record is from RNAcentral. Lineage: Eukaryota; Viridiplantae; Streptophyta; Magnoliopsida; Poales; Poaceae.
CCCAUGUUGCCCUAAUUAUGUUAGGGUAUUAUCAACAUAUUAUAUACAAUAACGGGCGAUAAUGAUAAUGCAAAUAUUACUUUAGGCAAACACAGAUGGCAAAUAAAGCGACUUGCUCCUGUACAUUGAGUGUGGUGGAUUGAUGCAUGUCUUGCUUCUGCACUAGCACAUGCAUUGCUGUCUCGCAAAAUUGUAAAUAAAUAAGUAUUCCUCCAUUCUAAAUUGCAGCUCAUUUUGUUUUUUUCUAAAUAUAUAGAUUUUGCUUCUACUUAGAUAUAGAUCAUGUCUAGAUACAUAGUAAAAUUUAUAGAUCAUGUCUAGAUACAUAGCAAAAUUAUGUAUCUAGAAAAGUUGAAACUGCCUAUAAUUUGAAAUGGAGGGAUUACUGAACUUUGUGCGCAUUUAUGGUUGAUGCUCGCUCGUCUGUUAGAUAUCUUUGCCUUAUUAGAACACACUGCUGAUGCGGACGCUUGCAUACUCAUUAUGUAAAAUAUAUGUACACGAUCUUAUCUCUAUGAUCAUCUACGUGAGACCAUACAUAUCCGAGCGCGUCAGAGAUUAGACUUGAGAUUGGCCAAGUCAAGGUAGGGUGGUCCUAAAGUCAUUUUUUCUUAAAGGGAGUAAUUAUUUUUCCGACUAAAAGAAAAAACAGAUACUCCGAUUGGGCUGGCCGCAACCUCAGAUUUUGUGAGCCGAUAUCCUAAGCGCAAUUUUGGAGACGUGAAAUGGUUGAACAAUCGUAACAUGGUACUCCCUCCGUUUUAAAUUGUAAAUCAUUAUAAUUGUAAAUCAUUAUACCUCCAUUUUAAAUUGUAAAUUAUUAUAUCUUUUUUAAAGUUCAUAAAUAUUAUUAUGGAUCUAACAUAUGCAUAGCAAAAACUAGUAAAUCAUUAUAUUAUUAUGGAUCUAACCUACACUAUAUCUAUGUGCAUAGUAAAAACUAUGCACAUAGAAAAAUCAAAACGACCUAUAAUUUGGAACAAAUCAAAAUGAAACGGAGGGAGUGUAUGCUAUAUGUAUGCUCUUUGCUAUUGCUCAAUAUAUCCCGAUUGACACUAACCAUUUGCGAUAGACGACUCAUCUUGUUUCGCUAUGAAUGAAGUUGCAGAGAUCAUCCAGAAUCUUGCUCUACCAGUGUCAAACUCUACGAAGUAAAAGUAGAAAAAGAAAGAGAUACCGUGGGGCGAGAGUCCAUAUGUAUCCAUUCUAGUUGCAAUUAGAAAAUUGACACGAUCAUUAGAUCUAGUUCUACAUUAGGACACCCAGAAAAGGAGAUUAGGGGACUUAAGCUCUUGGUUUAUACCUUCACUCGAGGAAGCCAUUGUGCUCAAGAUGAAGUUCACUGGCCUGCUUGAAGCAGGCGUGAGGAAGAAGCUCGGAGUGGACUAAGAAUUGACGUAGAGUUGACUGGCGUCGUCUCUGCGAGGGCGUCGGCUCGAAGUGAAGAGGCGGCGGUCUUCUCGCCGCUUCAGCGUUCUUUACAGAUCGGAUUAAUAGAUGGAUUUGAGGAUCUUUUACAGUGCACAAUACUAUCAGGGGUAGUGUAGAGUCUAGAGUAUUUUUUGGUAUGGGUAAAUUGUAAUUAGCACAAAAUAUAUUAUUGGGAUGUUUUUUUCCCACACACCGCACCAUUUUCCCGCACGCCGCCUCCCGUUUUUUCCCACACGCCGUGCUGUAAAAGGGUUGCUGCCACCGCCGGCUGCACACCGCACGCCGCCUCCCGUCGCUCGGGCGCCGCCACCACUGCCUCCAGAUUUUCCAAGCCGCUGCCGCCGCCGCUGGCCGCAUGCCGCACACUGUCUCUCGUCCGCUGCCACCACCGCCUCCAGAUUUUCCAGGCUGCCGCCACCGGCCGCAUGUCGCACGCCACCUCCCGUCAUUCAGGCGCCGCCUCCGGAUUUUCCAGGCCGCCGCCGGCGGCUCCUCACCAUUUUUCCGCACCACGCACGCACGCCGCCUCCCAUUGCUUAGCCUAUAACAUCCCUAGUUUUGGUUUAGUCCUUAAAGAGUCCAAUUGGAGUAUUGAAGGAUCAAGUAGCAUCUAAGUUUCAAACUUAUUAUUGUUUGAGCACGAUCACAUUUAAACACUCAAAGAAGUGUCACAUUAGAGGCUAAAUUGAUCAGAUCAAGUCGAACCCAAAGACUAAGUGGUAGAAAUACUCACCUAGAUUUGUUUUUGUGGUAAAAAUACCAAAAACCCAAAGGACCAGGUUGAAAUCUAAUCAAGCACUUGAAUGGACCAAAAUGCCCUUAAAAAGGCUUAAAUUGGGGGCAAUUCAUAAAUUCAGAUUUUGUUAAAUAACUCAAAGUUUUGCCAAUACAAAAUUUGUAUAACUUUUCAAAACACACAACUUUGCUUAUUUGAGCUUUUGCUAUUUUGUAGUGGAACCCUUUCAAAAAUCGAGUCAAGGAUCAGCUCAAUUUCAAACUUAUUUGAGCUUUUGCUAUUUUGCAAUGGAACCCUUUCAAAAAUCGAGUCAAGAAUCAGCUCAAUUUCAAACUCAAUUCAAAUUUCUCUAAGUCCUGAAAAACAAUUGUUUCUCCCUACUUUGUCUAUGGUUAUCUUCAAAUCCAAGAUAGUUUUGAACCCAAACCCUUUCUAAGAGUUGGAGUCUAAAGUAUGAACAAUAACUUCUACAUUUGGAAUUUCUCAACUUUAGUUUGAACGUUUGGAGAAAAUUCGGAAGGCGUUGAUCACGUCGUGGUCCUCAACGAAGGGGACCGAGUUCUUCUUCUCGGAGAACCGACGGAUAUAGCCUUGCAACAUCUCGUUCUUUUGCUGGCGGAUCUGACCUAGGAGCCUUUUGCUUCCAAGCCUUUCCCAGGUGCUGAUGUUGUUGCCGGUGAACAACAGAUAGAGUUGUUCCCAGUCGUCGAUGGCAUCACGCAGGAGCCUUGCCAACCAGUUGCGGCAGUCUUUGGUGAGCAUGAUGGGUAGGUAAUUAGCCAUCAUGUCGGUGUUACCCCUUGCCGCUUUGACAAUAGUAGAGUAUGUCUGGAGCCAUUGGGCGGGAUCAGACUUCCCGUCAUAUUUGUCGACGUCGGAAAGCUUGAAACCACGCGGCCAUGUGAGUUGGCGAAGUCUCUUGGUGAGAGAGAGAGGAAUCCAUCGUAUGACGGAGCCCUUCCCCAACCUUUACGGGAAUGACCGACUGGUCUUUCUCCAGAGGUGUAGCCAUCACAUGCGGAGUCCGAGUAGUCGGAUUCCUCAUAGUCGCUCUCCAACUCAGGUUCGGGUGUCUUGCCACGGCGUCCGCCCUACUAGGGAGGUCCGUGCUCUCGGUCGUACUACUCCCUGUGCUGAAUCUCCUCAUCCUCUCAGUGGGAGACACGAAUGUUGAUUGUGUGCCUUACAUCGCAUCCUCGGUAGAUCUGAUCGCGGAGGUCUUUGUCUCGCCGUGAACCAGAGCGUUGCGUCUUGGAAGUUCCACCACGCUUCUGUCGAACCGGUGGAGAUGGGUCCAUACGGUUGAUCAAGGUCGCAGCAGUCUAGACCAUCGCUUGCACUCGAGCCCAUCCUAGAGGGUUGGGAAGAAGUUUUGCGAGCUCUUCAUUGGUAGUGACAAGGUUCUCCUUUGGAGUCAUGUAAACCUUGUGACCACCGUACUCCAUGGUGAACUCCUGCUCGAGGUUACGGGGGCGAAGGGUGCGUUGCUUGCUGCCUCGCGACCUUCUCCUCCUAUCUCGGUGGGACUCAGCAUGGUCUCCAUCGCCGUUGGCAUUCUCAGCAGCGUUGAGGAUCUGUUGUCGCCUAACAGUGUUCUUCUGAAUGCAUUGUGCCUUGGCCUACUCCAUUUCCCCUCCACAGUUCAUUCAUCAUUAGAGACCGGUGCCACUGGAGCGACGACGUAAACGAAACCUGAGGGCGAGUUGUUUUCAGAGUCAUUAGUAGAUUCAACGAAAGUUUUCGUCUGGUCUUCAUCUUCUGCCUCUGGCUCUAGACCCAUCGCAAAUUGUGUCCAAGAGCACCCCUCCGAUAGCUGAUCUGGGUCGGUGGUGCAAUCCGUCUCCAUGCCUUCCUCCAGGAUUGGAAACAGGGAGUCGCUGGCUGGCGGAUGCCUAUUGAUAAUAGCCACGAUCUGCGGCUCGUCCUUAUCCGACUGGUCAUUGACCGAGUCAAAGAAGUUCAAUCUCGCCAUAGCUUCCCGCAUCGCCUCCUGGAAGGUGGUGGCGGCGCUCCUCAGUCCGUAACGGAUACGGAUCUGACGGGUCAAACCAGUUGGCGCCCCUCCGAGAGUAGACUCGCAGAGGGUUAUGCACUCGGCCAGUUGAGAUGCGAUCCGAUCCAUAGCUUGGACAAGAUUGUCAGUGGAGAGAGCCACGGAGGCUCCGUCCUUUCCUACUGUAGGGUACAGCAGAUUGUCGACCGGAACUCAUGGGUUCCUAGUUUGCUGCAGCCUACCGAGAAAUACUCGGUUAGCCUGGGCCUGGUUACCAAUCAGAUUGGAUCUGUUAACCAGAUCCAAGUCACCCAUGACCGGUACCGUAGCCCGAUCGGAGGUUUUGAUCUUCUCGACCGAGGGACUGGGGAUGAUGCAAGGCACCUCCCUGAUGAGAAGUUGGUCUCCGAGAGGGACCGAGUGGUUGGUCGCACAAUCGCUAGCGGCGGAGGCAGCAUGAUGUCCCUAGAAGGGAAUUGCUACUCCCAUCGCUGUGAAGAUGAUGCAGCUCUUGAGGAUCUUGAUAGUGUCCAUCAAGCUUGCCAACUGACAUGGCGAACCCCUACCUAGCGUGACAACUGUCGGGGGAAUAGUCUGGCAGUCUACCAUGAGGUAGACUAAGGUGGUAGAUUGUAUGGAGGGGAUUGCCGCACCUAGAGCUAGAUGGAUGAACACAAGGACACAAGGGACUUUACCAGGUUCGGACCACCAGAUUAGUGCAAUACCCUACGUCCUGUGCUCGGGGUUGUAUUCUUAGAGUGCAGCGUAUCGAAUAUGGCUUGGGUUUUUUAGGAGGUCCCUUAUAUAGUUCGGGGGGCAGGAUUACAAAUCUGAUUCGAUUUAAUCCUAGUUGGUUACAAGGAAAUCUGCUACCUUUCAGUAUUAAACAUGUCUAUUUAUAACUAUAUCUCUUGAUGCCGAUCCGUCAUCUUGAUCCGUAUGCUUAUCCCGAGUCCCCCUCGCAUGAGCCGCGAUACCCCCUUUGGAGAGUGGCUAGGCCAUCCGAGUAGUACCCGGGGUUAUAUCCCCCACAAACAUUAUCAAUCCCCUUUGACUCAUACAAAUAUGUGGAAGGUUUAUGUUGAACCCCUCGACACAUCAUAUAAAUAUGUGGAAGGUUUACGUAGAACAUGGUUGGUAUAAAUAGUCGUAACAAAAUAAUAUAUUGUGGAAACAUCCACUUUUAACCAACUCAACGUGUGUAUGAAACUAAGCAUACACUUUAUUUAUUUACGAGAAAUUGGUGAUCAAACAAUCUGCCAAGGCAGCUCGCUUACCAAGCAGCGAUGUCGACGGUCAACCCCACACGACCAUAAAAUCGGAUCGGAUUUAGAUGGAAUUGAACUCGGAUAGAACUUUUACCACAUUUUUACUCGAAUACGAAUUCGAAUUCGGAUGUUGUCGAAUGCGAAUGCAAAAUGAAUAACUUGAAUUCGGAUCAGAUAUCCACUUAAUUUGGGUCCCUUUAUUAAUAGUUUUGAAAGAACAAAAUCAACAUUAAACAUACAAUUAUAUGUAUGAAUCAAAUGUAACACAUUUAGAAAAAGAUUAUUCAUUAUUUUUUAUAAAACUAUUAUAAUAAAUUAAUAUAUAUUAAUAAUUAAAAUAAAAAGUUUAUAAAAAUAUUUAAAAAUAAUAAAAUAAACUAUUUGAAGUAAUUUAAACCAAAAAAUAUAUUAGUUUAAAAAAUAAAUCAUAAUAAUAUAUUUAUUGUUUGAUUUAGAGAAGUGAUUAUACUAUACGAAUACAGAUAUUAUCAGAUAUCCAUCCACAUCCACAUUUAUUAGAAAAUGAAUUCGAAUGUAUUCACUUAAGGUUCUACAUUCUAAAAUAUUAGAAACGAAUGCAUAUAUGAAUAUCCAUAUAUGAUACUUUAACGGAUAUGAAUUCGAAUUAUUUGGAUAUUCGUUAAAUUCGGAUUAUUCGGAUAUACGCGUCCUAGUUUCUGCCCUCGUAUACGGGAGCGCUGCAGCUAUCCUGCCAAGCAGAGAUGUCAAUGGUCAGCCCCGCACGCCCGUAAUCGCACGUACCGGAGCGCUGCAGCUCUGGUCAGCUCCAUUCCAAUUUCCAGACGCCCUCUCUGCCUCCAUGCUGGAGCAGGAUCUGAUGUGGAUGGAGCAGGACCUGUUCCAGUGACGACGCAGCCCUUCUGGUGCCACGCGCAGGCCACAUGGCAUCCGAAUCAGCCGUUGGCGCGCGCCUCGAUCCCCUCCGUCCGUUCCCUCCCCGACGCUUCUCCCUGCCACAUCACCCCUCUCCUCCCACCUUCCUCCCCACCGGCCUCGAGUCGCCCGCGCGAGAUCUGCCUUCCGCCGCGGGCCCGCGGCCACAUGCCACACAACGACGCCCGACGAGCUCCCCCGCGAUCGAGGUAGGCCCGCCGGAACCCGAGGAGGAUGGAGGUGGCGGGCGGCGGCGCGGCGGACGAGCGGUGGGCGUCGCUGUGCAACUGCGUGGUGAACUUCCUGCUGGAGGAGCGGUACCACCUCACGGCGUUCGAACUGCUGCAGGAGCUGCAGGAGGACGGACGCCACGCGCACGCGCUCCGCCUCCGCGCCUUCUUCUCCGACCCGGCGCUUUUCCCGCCCGACCUCGUCGCGCGCGCAUCCUCCGCGCCGCCCGGUACGUUCCACGCACCCCAUUUCCCCGUCUCGCACCGCGCUUCGCCUCACGCUGUGACGCUCCCACUCUGGUCCGGCGGCUCGCUGGCUGGAUCUCGCAGGAUCGUGCCCGCCAGUGCUGCCUCCUUUGUAAUUGGGCCCUUCUGUCUCUCGGACGUGCGUGCCCAUCCAGCUCCGUUUCUCCGUAAUCUGAUUUGAAAUCAAACUCUGUUCCACUCUGUCCUUUUCCUUGGCGUCGGUGUUACAUUGGUGAUUGUACAGCUCUGUUCAGUUGGUGUAUGCAUUUUGGCGCUCAACUGGCAUUUUUGACGGACUUUUGGUUGGCGUCCACGGCUGUUAUCUGGAGUGCUGUAUGUAUUCGUACUAACUACUUCUAUCAUAUGGAGAAGUACAAAAAAUGAAGCUUCAAGUGAACAAAGGUUGCUGAAAGAAACCAUUGGGGGCAGAUAUUUAUGUCAAAAUUCUAACUUUUAUGAUGGUUUCUUUAAUGUUUUUUUUCCUUUUUAAACCGAUUUACAUUCAUUCAAUUGCCAACAGCGAUGGGGUCAUGCCAUCUGUAGAGUAGCAGCACAUAUACCUUUUAUUGUGUGAGCUCUGAUGACCGGCCGAUCCUACUUAGUAGGAGGUAUGGAAAAGGAGAAAACGCCACAUAAAUGUAUGGGGCAUGUGUUUUUGAGUGGCGUUUUGUCAGUUGGAUAAAAUCCAGCGGCGUUUGACCAUGACUUACAAAUGUAGGCUCUAUUCAUGCUUUUAGAGUCUUUCAUUUCAUAACAUAACCAGUUGCUGAGAAAUUAGAUAAGUGCAACUAGUCGCUUGACCAGGCUCAUUUAACUAUCCUACUCGGCUUAGUUAUUAAGCUUUUUGGUCAGUCCAGGCACCUAAAUAUUUUCUUGGUUAUCAGCUUUAUUACAGAAGCAUUGAGAUGAUUCAAUAUAUGUUUUUGUUGACAGGUGCAGAUCCACAGAGUUUGUUAGAAGAGAAAAUAGCAGCACAAGAAAAACUUGCACUUGCAGAGUAUGAUCUGCGACUAGCCAAAGAAGACCUUUCACAGUUGAAGCUUGAGUUACAAAAGCAAAAAGAAUCAUCUCCUGAAGAUUCAAAUGGUUUGUGACCUUGAAAUUAUGGACAAUGUUAUACACAGCAUUACAGUAUGAUGUACCUUUUUAUGCUGCAGUGCUGAACGAAAACAACCAGUUUUGGUCUCAGUUUUUGGAUUAAGAUUUCCUUUCUUUUUUGCGCCUUUACAUUGCUUUGAGUGGAAUAUGACACAUCUGCACAAGAAUAGACUUUGCUUGCUGCAUGGAAAUUUGGAAUUUAUAUGGUUCAGAAUACAAUGAAAAGAUAUUGAAGGCUUGCAAUUUAUGCGCCUUGUGCUUAAGGCGUCUGUUUGAGUGCUGUCAAUAAACAAAACUAAACUGGGCAGGCUGUACCAGCUUUGGUCACUGUGCCAAUAACUGUACUCAAGUCAUAUAUGAUAUUGUAUCAGAAGACCCCCAAUAUAUUUUUUGUUAUAAAGAAAGUAUAUAUUCCACCUUAUAAGAUGUGCUUAUAUCCAUUUGUGUUACUGAGGUUCAUAAGCAGAUAAGUGAUAGCUUUGUCUAGAACCACAGUUUGCUUGACAUGAUUCAUAUAUUUGGCAUACAGGGCUCCUUUUGGGUGAUUCUACACGUGAAGGAUCCAUUAGCCAACAGGAUAAACGGGAAGUGAAAAUUUCAGCAUUAGGCCCUCUAAAGGAUAAUGAACGAAAAGAUCUUAACUGUGCUGUAAAAGAAUACUUGCUUUUGGCAGGGUAUCGACUUGCAGCCAUGACAUUCAUUGAGGAGGUCUGUAUUAUCUAUGUAGUACCUUUUCCCUUGUACUGUUGUAACUUAUGUUAAUGUUUACCAGCUUGUGAUUUUUUCCCCUUAAAUAUUUCUUGGAUGUUGAUAUUUAGUGGGUAACGACACUAUUUUGAUGUGGCCAAUUAUAAUAGUUUUAUGUAUAUUGGCGGUCGAAGUUAAUAUUUCUGAUCAGAAGGAUUAUUUCCUUAUCCAUGAUUUGUACUCUCAAUCAUCUUAAUUGCAGGUUCCUGAUCAAGACCUUGAUGUUUGGCCAAACAGUUCAGCUUGUGUUCCUGAUGCCCUUCGUCGUUACUACUAUCAGUACCUUUCAUCUACUGCAGAGGCUGCAGAGGUAAUUAUCGACAUCAAUGUUGAAACUUGUGUCGAACUACAGAUUGAUGCAUUACAGUGUCAUAUAUAGCCGCGCAUAGAUAUAAGUAAUGCAUUAGAAAUUUCUCUUUCCUGUAUCAACCCCCUGCUAUUUGUAGGAAACAUUGAUGCCUUAUUGAUUUUGAAGAAUCUAUCAACAGAAAACUUUACCAUUGGUUACGUCGGGGCCAGAACAAAGUUCAUGGCAUAGUUCUGUUCAACCUUUUUCAUUAUCACUUCAAAAGUUCAAGUUUCACUUUAUCUUGCGCUUUCACUUGGAAGCAUAGAGCUUCUAAACUGUUUCUUUCAAUUUUGUAACGUAUUGCAGGAAAAAAUAUCCAUACUUCGGGAAAAUGAAACAUUACUUAAGGACAAUGAGCGACUCAAUGCUGAAAAGGACUCUUUGACCAAGAGCAGGGAAGCGGCUAAUAGUCAGGUUGCUGCUUUGAGGAAAUCUUUGGAAGCUGCGCACAAGGAGAUAAAAGAGAAGGAAAAAAUGGUAAUAUUCUCUUGGAAAUCAUGAUCCAAUGAUCAAUAGUUUUAUGUUCUCUGAACUUUCCUAACCUUCAUUUGAUUAAAGGUUCAAGACUUAAGGCAGUCACUGGAUGUCCAGAGGAAAGAGCUGAACGACUGCAGAGCUGAAAUUACAGCCCUUAAGAUGUAUAUUGAAGGGGCUCAAUCAAACAAGCAAUUGUUUGUUGGAAAUAGUGAUGAUCUGGAGUCGCAUUCCAUCGCUAACUCUAUGGGAGAAGCAGCAACAUUGAAUAAUAAAGAUGGAGACUCAAAAGGAUCUGAAUCCAUAACAAAUAAGCUAGGAUCGGCAGUCAAUCUAACUGAGGAUACACAGAAAGAUCACCAAGUGAUAGAAAAUAGUGCUGAAGGUCCCUCAGUUUCAGAAGCUCCAGUUUCUUGCUCAUCUCAUGAGAAUGGAGGCUAUGGUACUUCAGAAGAAGAUAAAUCUAUGUCGAAUAUCUCAUCAGAAAAUGUAACUCUUAAUAGUAGUCUGCAUGGAGCUUCCAUGAUUGGUAAAAUCCAGGAGAGUUCAGAUGGCAUAUCUGUGUAUUUAUCUACUGAGAAACUAGAGAGCCCAAGCAAACAAAAAUCUUCAGAUAAGAUGGUUAGUGUCCUAGUAAUUCUGCUUUGUCUAUAAAGUACGCUUGUUUACUUCUAUUGAUACUCCUUACUUUUCCUGUAGGCUCUGGAGACUAUAAAGAUAGUUUCAGAUGCACUUCCAAAGAUUGUACCAUAUGUGCUCAUAAACCAUCGUGAGGUUUAUUUGUAACCUUUGUAGCUUGCAUCCAUAUCCAUUUAAGUACAACUAAUGUUACAUAAUUCUACAUGGUUACAGGAACUUCUUCCAUUGAUCAUAUGUGCUAUAGAAAAGCAUCCAGAUAGCGAUGUACGGGAUUCCUUGACUCAUACAUUAUUCAACCUGAUAAAACGGCCUGAUGGACAACAAAGACGCAUCAUAAUGGAUGUAUGCUGCUAUGAAUGUAAAUUGUAGCAUCAUAUUUUUUUCAUAUUUAUAUCUGUUUUCCUUGUCAUAUGGCUGCAGGCUUGUGUUGAGUUAGCUAAGAGUGUUGGUGAGAUGAGGACAGAAACUGAGCUACUUCCUCAAUGUUGGGAACAGGUAUUUUACAUUUUUGUGAUAGGUCUUCUAGCUUUCUUUAGCGCAUGAUCUUACAUUUAUUAAUCUAUUGGUGUUUAGAUAAAUCAUCAAUAUGAGGAACGCAGAUUGCUUGUUGCUCAAUCGUGUGGAGAACUUGCUGUGUAUGUUCGCCCAGAGAUUCGAGAUUCCCUCAUUUUAUCUAUUGUGCAACAACUUGUCGAAGAUGCUGCAACAGUUGUAAGGGAAGCUGCAACACAUAACCUGGCAUUGCUUCUUCCUCUGUUUCCAAACCUGGACAAGUAUUACAAGGUCAGCCUCACUUAUAUAAGUACAAAUUUGAUUUCACAAGAUUAGCUAAAUUUAAGCUAUGGACAAGGAUAGGAUAUUUUGUUUAGUUCAGAAUUGAGAACUUGGAGAGUUACACAUAACUGAAUGUAAUAUUAUUGCUCAUAAGUCCACUGGUUCCCUUUGCUUUUUUAUUUGUAGGUUGAGGAACUAAUGUUCCAAUUGGUCUGUGACCCCUCUGGGGCGGUUGUGGAAGUCGCACUCAAGGAGCUUGUUCCUGCUGUAGUAAGAUGGGGAGGUAAACUGGAUCAGAUAUCAAGAGUGCUAUUGGCUCAUAUCCUGGCAUCUGCUCAGGUAUGCUUUCUCGUGAAUAUUGAGAACUUUCUAUUUUCUAUUAAUGAUGCGUGUCCUUAUAGUCCUUACAACCUGUUAUGUUUUUCAGCGGUGUCCACCUAUUUCGGGGGUUGAAGGUACAAUAGACUCUCAUCUUCGUGUUUUAGGAGAACAAGAGCGCUGGAACAUUGAUGUCCUCCUUCGAAUGUUGACUGAGUUGCUACCAUUUAUUCAUCAGAAAGCUAUAGAGACUUGCCCCUUUGCACCAGUUGAUCCAACAGGCUCUACACCAGAAAACUUCUUCUCAGCAUCCUGCCUAAAACUGUAUUCAACGUAAGUUCUUCAUUUUGAUCUUAUCUUUUAAUUACUCUAAACAAGAAGUAUCAGAUAGACUUUGCGAACAAUAAAAAACGUCUUUCACUGAGUCAUCGCAUCUUGGGGAACUUGACAGAGGUGACUCUGAGUGGUCAGCAUUUGAGUGGAUGCACACUGAUUGCCUGCCUGAUUUAAUCAAGCUUGCCUGCUUGUUGCCUGUGAAAGAGGAUAACUUAAGAACCAUUAUCACGAAGGUAAAAUCUAGCAACCACACCUCCCAUACAAAUUGGACUAUCAUCAGGUUUAGUUCUGAUCAAUCAUUUCUGGAUAAUUUAGUACCUUUUGGAAGUAUCUGGGUGCUACGGUAAAGAUUAUUUGGAGCACAUCAUGCUACCGGUAUUUCUUGUAGCAGCUGGCGAUAUUGAUAGUGGUGAUUUUACCUAUUUUCCUCUGUCAAUCCAGCCAAAAGUUCGUGGUAAGACCACAUCUACUUAUUAGAUGAGGCAGUUUGAUAUAGUUGCAUUUUUCAUUCCUUUGUAUUGAUUGUAUUACAGGCUUGCGUCCGAAAACUUCAACUGCUGAAAAACUUGCGAUCAUGUGUGUGUUCCCAUUGUUGUUGUCUGGUAUUUUGGGUUCUCCUUCCAGCCGUCAACAGUUAGAAGAAUAUCUGAGAAAAGUACUUAUCCAAAACACCAAGGAUGGUUCAUUUUCUAUGCAUCAUACUACAGAGAUUAUUAAUGCAGUUCGGUUUCUUUGGUGAGUAAUUAGAGUAAUUGAAAACAUGUUGCUGCACAUGAUUUGUUUUCAUGGAUCUGACUUCUUAUGAUUGUAGCUUAUUUGUGGAGCACCAUGGAGUUAUCUUCAAUAUUUUGUGGGAGAUGGUUGUGAGUUCAGAUACCAGCCUGAAAAUAAAUGCUGCAGCUCUACUGAAAGCACUUGUAAGUUUUCUGUACAUGAAUGAUUCAAUGAUCUUCAAUGUUGUUUAUGAUAUUCUUAUUUGCUUUAACACACAGGUACCCUACAUUGAUGUGAAAGUUGCAUCUACUCAUAUUUUGCCAGCACUUAUUACUCUUGGCUCUGAUCAAAACUUGACAGUAAAAUAUGCUAGUAUAGAUGCAUUUGGAGCUGUUGCUCAGCACUUCAAAAAUGACAUGGUAAAGAAUGAUUCUUAUUUUCUUCCUUUAAAUUUUACAUACUUUGUGUAUUUCCUUUUGUCCUUAACUCUUUGACAGGUUGUUGACAAGAUACGCAUUCAAAUGGAUGCUUUCCUUGAAGAUGGAUCGCAUGAAGCUACUAUUUCUGUUAUUCGUGCACUUGCAGUGGCUGUGCCUCAUUCAACAGAUAGGCUACGUGAAUAUAUCCUGCUCUUUGAAUUCCAUGUUUACAUUUUGACUUAAAUUUUGCACAUCUUUUGCUUGCCUUUUGUCCAUUUGCCUUUUGUUUUCUUUGACAUGACAUACAUCUUUUAACCAAGAUAUUUAAGCUGACGAGCAUCACACCUUCCGGCGAUGAUAUUGAACGGCGUCGUGAAAGAGCAAAUGUAUACUGUGAAGCGCUGCGGGCUCUAGAUGCUACAGGUUGGUCUGACCUGAGUAUAGCAUUCCUUCCCCUUAAUAUACAUGCCACAACUGCCUUUCAAGUCUGCCUGGAUCUUUAUCGUUGGCAUUGUUAAUUCCAAGGUUUAGAUAUUCUUUGAGGGCUAGAAACCAGAACCUGCUUGGUUCCACAGUUUUCAUCCCAGAUUACACAUAACUCCGAAAGAACUCUUACUAUGGAAAACUGGGUCGGUUUCUGGCACCAAAAGUAGUUGUUUUGUCUCAAAUUUCAAUUAUCAUUUUUUUUAGUAUUGGACGACUGCAUUUUGGAAAACUGAACCCUGCGGUUUCCCAACCUCUGCUAGUACCUUAUUUGUAUAGUUCAAUAAUAUUUUGAACAUAUCUUCCCAUCAUUCACAAACUAAAAAACGCUGUUAGAAACUAUGCUAUGCUUGGUUUCAUUUGUACGGACUAAAAUAUGCCAUCCUCAAUUUAUGUUUACUGUAUCUUUUUUGUCCUUGGUCGUUGCAGAUCUUCCAGCAACAAGUGUACGCGAUCUGCUUCUGCCAUCAAUACAGAACUUGUUAAAAGAUCCUGAUGCUCUAGACCCUGCACACAAGGAGGCAUUAGAAAUCAUAGGCCGUGAACAGUCGGGUGGUACACUGGAAAGCCUCAGCAAGGUAAUGGGGGCGCAUCUUGGGAUCGCAUCCUCCGUCAGCAGUUUCUUUGGUGAGAGCAGCCUCCUUGGGAAGAAAGAAGGUGGCGAGCAACAUGACCCUGCUACCACCGCUGCCCCUGAUCCCAAUCCGCAGGCUCAGCCGGAGAGCACUAGGUUUGGUCGUAUAAUGAGGGGCGGCUUCGGAGAUAUUUUGCGAGGGCAAAGCAAGGGACAGUGAUGCACCGGGUUUUAAAAUGAUCAGUUACAUACAUAGCAAUCAAUACCACAUUCUUUGUUCGUUGUUGUAGUAAGGUUACGGAGGAAUGGAAUUUCCAUGCCGAGAGAAAAGUAAUGUGACGUUACUGCAGUAAUCUAGCACCAAAAUUCCUGUAUAGAAGGAAAGAUAUAGCAUUUUGCACGUAUUCAAUUAGCUGCAUAUUUCUAGGACUCUAGUUGCUGUAUCUUUGUUCCAUUUGUUCAUAUCAAUAAAAGAUAAAAACUCCACGGUAUCAGACACUGUCAAUCUUUCCUGAAUUUGGAUGCUAUGGUCAGCUGACGUCAUGUAAUUCCAGCGGUUGUUUUGUAAGCAAAAUAUGAUCUGGUUCGACAAUAAAAAUGUCUAUCGGGCACAAUAAUUGUAUGAAACGCAAAUAAUUGUCGAUCUAAACUACAAUGAUCACAAUGUACAUGGACGGAAAAUAAAAUGGAAACAUAAAUAUGAUAGAAUCAUAGACGCAUAUGAAGAAAAAGAUGUCUAUCGGGCCUAGAUGGGCUGCCUUGUUUGCAAGACCUAAUUCGUUCCGUGAGGCUCUGCUGCUCUGUUUCACUGUUUGUGUGGGAUGCCGGCCGGACUCGUUCGCUCAAAAUGGCGAGUGCUCCGCGGCCGCCGCCGGCGUCUAGCCUGCUUCGUAUCCUCUCCUCUCACCCCUCCCUCUCCACCGCCAUCCAUGCCAUCCUACUCAAGUCCUCCUCCCUCUCCAAACCCAUCCCGAUCCCGGCCACUGCCCUCCUCACAGCCUACGCAAACGCGGGGCUCCCAGGCGCCGCGUCCCGCAUGUUCGACGAAAUGCCGCGGCGGGAUACCGUCGCAUGGAACGCACUCCUCGCCUGCCUCGUCCGACACGCGCGCCCCGCCGCUGCCGCCGCCGCGUUCCGUGGCAUGGCCACCUCCGGGUUCCCGCCCACGGCCGCCACCCUCUGCACCAUGCUCAAGGCUUGCUCCGCGUCACGCGCCUUCCGCCCUGGCCGGCAGCUCCACGCGCGGAGCGUCAUCUCGUGCCACGGCGACGUCAUCAUGGAUACGGCCCUUGUUGAUCUCUACAUGAGCUGUGGUCUCGUAGAGGAUGCCUUGAGGGUGUUUAUGCUCACGAAGUACCCAAAGGAUGCCGCACUGUACAACGCUGUUCUUUCAGGCUGCGUGGAGAAUGGCUGGUUUAGGGAGGCUUUCUCGAUGCUGAGGUGGACUGAGCUCAAUGGAAUUUCGCUGACUUGUGCUCUCACGGCCUGCUCAGCGACAGCAAACUUGGCUUAUGGUAUGCAGGUGCAUUGCAAGGUUCUUCGUUGUGGGUUUGAUUCUGACACCAUAAUAUGCAAUGCGCUUAUUGACAUGUAUUCAAAAUGUGGGAGGACAAUGGGUGCACGGAUAGUGUUUGACCGGAUGGCUGGCAGAAAUGUGGUUUCCUGGUCAAGUAUGAUUGAUUCUUAUAGUCACCAUGGGUAUGGUGUGGGUGCUUUAGAUUUGUUUAAGAUGAUGGAGAAAGCCACACCAAUGGUCUUGCCAAACGCUAUUACAUUUCUGGCAGUUCUGUCAGCCUGUGGACACUCUGGUCUUGUGGAUGAAGGUCAGUCCAUGCUACAUUUGAUGAAAAGCAAGUACGGCAUUGAUCCACAACCAGAGCACUAUGCAUGUUUAAUAGACAUGCUAGGUCGUGCAGGACGUAUUGACGAGGUGUGGGAUCUAUAUUGUAGAUUAACUGCAAGACGAAAUAAGUGUCCAAUUGCCAUCUAUGUCGCUACGUUGAAUGCAUGCAGAGCGAACAUGGAUGUCGUAAGAGGAAAGAAGGUAGCCAUGCACAUGCUGGAGGUUGACCCACAAAAUCCUGGGAUUCAUGUGUUGAUAUCAAACUUUCAUUCUGCUAUUCGACAAUGGUUUGAAUCAGAUGAAUCACGGAGGGUUAUGGUGGAAAAGGGUCUCAGGAAAGAAGCAGCUAGCAGUCAUGUCUCUGUUGGCUAAAAACUGAUUUUGUAUAAAUCUUGAAAGCAGCUGCCACUGAAAGUGUGGCAAAGCUUGGAAACUAUGGUGGCCGACCAAAUUGGCCCUUAGUCCAAGUAAAUGCCACAGAUUGGUAUAUCAAGAGUUUAGGGACAAUUUUUCUACCUUAUUAAUGCCAAAUGGUGCAGCUGCAUCUACCAUACUUGUGUUAACAGAAAUAUGCCACUGUAAUCAUAAUAUUCAUUUGUGCAUAUUGUCACAUUUCUUGCCAUGCUCACUGUUGUGAGGUUUGGCAUGAUUAUUAGGUUCCCCCUUUUUUUCUUGUCUUACUAUUGUCUAAGUCAAGGAUGAACUGCGGAAGAAUAUACUUCUUGUAUAAACAAUACUUGAGAAUGGAUUUGAAGACUCUGUUGAUUCAUCUUUUUAACCUGAUAUGUGUUAUGGCUCCCAAACUCUCAUAUUGCCAGUUUCACCACAUCUGAUCCUUUUCUUGGAUUACGGUUCAGUAAACAAAUGAAAUUACAUAUCAACUGCUUUACUUUUUUUAUUGCUAGGGAUAGCUUAGCCAUGUGAUGAGUUCUUUAUGUUGUUUUCAUUGCAAAAUGAUGGAUCUCCUUCCAGUUCCGAGUAUGGGAAUUUAAAGACACGAAAAAUCUCCAUUCUAUGUAGCAUCUGGGAGAUAUACAUAAUAUUUUCAGGAACAAGAAAAUCAGGAUAAUUUCUCUCUAUUCACCACCAUUUCGAGUCUUUGACUUAUGUUAGUUUCUUUUUCUUCUUUAGUGCAAUAGCUAUAGCUUGAUAUAGAAUCCAUUUCUCAAAGUAAUGAAAAUCAUUUCUAAAAAAAAGUAAUGAAAACCAUAAUCUUAUAGGAAAUGGUUCGAAAGACACUAUUCCAUCUUUUAUGUUUAGGUAUCAUGACUUCUCUUUUAUUUUGAACUCUUUUCCCUAAUAGAUCUUUGAAUAACUACUCCCUCUAUCCCAAAAUACUACUCGUUUUGGCUUUUCCAUAUACAUAUAUCUUGUUAUGUAUCUAGACAUAAGUAUAUAUUUAGGUACAUAUCAAAAGCUAUGCAUCUAGAAAAUUCAAAAUGAAUAGUAAUUUGGAACGGAGGGAGUAUAAUCUUCUGCUUGGGCCAUAAUAAAAUCCUAUUCCAAACAACGUCACGAGCAGAUUUUCCUGUUUUGCUAGCGAGUAUGUUAUCUACUAACGGAAUAAGGAGCUUUGCUAUUAUAGUGGAUUUUCAAGUUAGCAUCAUCUACACUCUAUUUGGUUUAUAUUUUUUAAUAUAUAUUGCUGCAUCGUGGACAAUAAUAAUAUUGAGGAAUUUCCUUAUUUACCACCGAGAAAACUUGUAAUCCCCCGUAUGCCAUCCCCUUGUGAAAUGAGACUAAGGCCUCCUACUUGGCUUUCUUGAUCAACAACAAAACAAGAGCACAGUUCCCCUUUUUUCCAGAAAAAAAGGAGCUGAAAAUUUGAGAUAGGCUUAUUUCUAAUCACUCAAACUUUAUUGAAUGUUGUCGAAAUGUUGCAUUGGAAAGUAAGAGAAUGCUUUUAUAAGGACAUGCUAGUUUAGUUUGUAAGAAUCCACAGAUUGACUGAAUCCAGGAACAACAAAGCUGCACAAGUCCGCAAAGCUCAACAUACUUCUGGUUUGUGGAGCUUUUUACUGAACAUGUGCCUAUGUGCUUGUCCAUAAGGUAUGACCUUGGUGUGUACAAGGGUCCUUAAACUUUUUAAGUGGGACUUGCUUCCAUUAUUGAUCUCAUGAUGUUUCUCAAGAUCCGAACUCCUAAGGUAUCAUUAAAAAGAAACACCCCCAAGGUAUCAUUGUUUUACUUCUUUCCACCAAGAUAACAUCUUACUGAAAACUUUUUUUGGAACGAACGGGCACGAGGCGGUGCCUAUUUCAUUGAUAGAGUAGGAAAAAACAGAGGGAGACCCGACAGAUCGGGAAGGAAAAGAAAUACAAAAGGAAGGCAAAAAGGCCAAAAUGGGACUACUCGCGUGAUAGAAGAAUCGCUAGAUCUUUGGCCCCUGCCAAAAGCCAAGCCGAGGUCUCAUCUUUGAUUUUCAUCAUUAGGGUUGUCGGUGAUGUUUCGUGGCGAUUGAAAAUACGUGCGUUCCGCUCCUUCCAGACUUCCCACAUGAUUAGGAGGGCGAGGCUUCGUAAAGCCUUGCGAGGCGAGUCCGGUGUUGUGGUGAUAGCUGUCCACCACUCCAGAGCGUUGGAUGAAGGUCGCCAUUCAGUUGGUCGUAGGUUAGGCUGCGCUAGCCAUAUCGCCGUUUGAUCCCAGAUUUUCCGUGUGUAUCUGCACUCAGCUAAAAGGUGGUGUCCGGUCUCCAUAGUGGAUCGGCACAGGACGCAAGUUGCGUUGUGUGGCCAGCCCCGCUUGGCCAAUCGAUCAGCUGACCAGAUUCGGUUCUGUGUAAUUAGCCACGCGAAAAAUUUGCACUUUGGUGGUGCCCAAGAUUUCCAGAUGGUUGAUAUGUGCGGUGUUUCGGUGCAGUCCAGGAAUUGUGCUUUAUAUGCCGAGGCCGUUGUAUAUAUUCCUGAUUCUGUCAGCUUCCAAGUGAUAAUUACAUCUUACUGAAAACUGAUCCUACUGUUCUGUAGUAAUGCAAAAACAAAAGUGUCAGAUAUUACUGCUACUGCUUUAGUUUGUUUUGUGUUUGAUUUUGGACUCCAGAUGCCUUUAGAUUCAUUUUUAUAGGAAGCCUAGUUGGCUACUAAAUAGGUGUGGUCCAUGGCGGCCCUACAUCUUUUCAUAGAAGGUAUGUAGCAUCAGUGUGGCGAUCUUCUGCUUUAACAAUCAUGUCAUGCUGAUUCUGGACAUUUCGUACUUCCCGCGCCUAAAUGGGGUUCCAUCUCCAUGUGCGUUUGCUGCUCCCUGUUGAAAUGUCAUCUUCACUGUGACAUAAUCUCAAUAUUUAAACAUCAUUCAGCUGUGUUAUUUUAUUUGCACCAUCGAACCCUAUAUUUAUUGCUGAAUAUUUCCACAGGGCAUCGCAUCUACAUGUACUGUAGCUUCUGUAUUGCGGACAUUAUUCAUUAUUCUGAAGGAAAUUAGUGGUGAAACUGAGCUAUAUUAACCUCAGGAUGAAUGGUCAUAUCCUUUCUUUGGUCCAAUAUAUGAUAAGCUAAAGUGGUGCCAGCUGGAAAGAAACCCAAUUGCAUUCAUAUGAUUCGAUUUGAUGAUACGUAGAUAUGAAACCAAACCUUCAAGUGCAAUCACUCAAAGCUCACUGCGCCAACAGGAUAUAUUGACAGAAGAUCAUUCGUGGACUCAGUCGGUGUGAUCCAAGUGCACAGUUACCCUGUUUGGUUCUUCCUUAAACGGCUUUGUUUGUAAGCCAUUGGUAUUACUCAAGUGACCAAUCUCGUCCUUGCCAAAGCUAUGAUAUCACCCUCCAAUUAUUGAUAUAUACUUGAGUUUUCACAUAUAUGAACUGAUGAAAGCCAUACACUACCAUUUGGUCCCUUGCAGAUUGGCGAUACAUGAAUGGGACAUGGUCCUUUGCCCCCACAUGUUGCUGCUGCUUUGCCAACUGACUGCUGGACUGUUGAAACUUUGUUGUUGCAGAGACUUGGGUAGGUCCCCACUCCUGCUACACACAGUUCCCACAAUGUCUGAUUCCUCUCUGAUGUUUCUUGGCACCAGAAGCCACCCUUUUGCACUAUGGAACUUUUCCGAAUAAAGCAAUCUGAUGGUAGUUUUCUUCAUGGAAAAUCCUCUAGUUUACCUGAAGGUACAAGGAAAUUAAAAUUUGCAGCGACAUGAUGAAUUCUGAUGGGUGUUUAAGUGUUUGAGGCACUUUCAUGAUGUUGCAUACCAUUUAUUAUUUCAACUUUUCAAGUACUACCAAUAGAUGAUAAUUUAGCCUUACUGUCUCUGAUAGUAUGUCUGUGCCCCCCAACUCCCCAAUCAUUUAUGCCUUGCCCUCAUGGGCCCUCCAUUAAUAGAAGGUGUUUAUGCACUCCAGCUUGUUUGGUACAUGUGCACUGAAUAUAUCCGAUUUUAUAUAUCACAUCAGGAAAGUUCAGAAGCCUAGUCUUUGCCGGUUGCCGCCUCGUCCAUCUCCAUCUUCUUAUCCAGUAAUCGCAAUUUCCUCCUAGCUUUUAACUUAACAAUGAUAUUCCUUCGGUGCCAAGGCAUUAUGUUUACAUAUUCAUCAUUUUCUUCUCCAGGUUAAGACUGCAUAUGAGCAUUUGUCCUUUUGCUUGCAAGGUACAUCGCAAAUAUUUCCAGUACCAAACAUCUACAUUUCUUUCACCAUUCGAGAGGCUAAAAUGUUGCUUCUUGUUGCAUGUUGGACACCACCACACUGCUCCCAUGGGGGGCUCAUGUUGAUAAUGUUGCUUUCGCGCCAGGUGGUACUGGCUGUUACCUGAUGAUAUGUCAUCUUGAUUUUAGACUCAGGUGGCUUAUAAUCAGAUGGCUCCUUGUGAAUAAUCAUCUGAAGGGACUCCUCACAGAGAAUUUGGAGGCUGUCAGGUUCCUAAACUACUUGAAAGAUCAUCGAAUCACCCAUGGUAGAUAUUGUGUACCAAAGGAUAACGGACAUCUAGAUAGAUGAACGUCCCAGCUCCUGAGUCCUUGGAGAGGUCUCUGCUUUCACCUAGAGUAGUUCAGAAUAGCUGGCUCGGUAGGUCUGCAAGGGUCAAUGCCAGUCAUGCAGACCAUAAAUGCAAUUAUAUACUCCCUCCGUUCCAAAUUGUAGGUCGUUUUGACUUUCAAGAUGCAUCUAGAUAUAGUGUAUGUCUAAAUGCAUAAUAAUAUAAUAAACCUUAAAAAAUCAAAACGACCUACAAUUUGUGAUGGAGGGAGUAUCAUUUAGAGUUAGACAUCCUAGAGUAGUUCAGCAUAGCUUGCCCGCUAGGAGAGUCCUAAAGACCAUAAUUGCAAUUAUCAUUCUUAGUGUCAUCGCUAUUAUAUAGUGUUAGGUGGUCGUUAUUAGUUAAAACACAAUUAGGAAUCAUGGACACAGGUAACCAACAUAUAGAAAAAGUUGUACAAGAUUUAACAAGGUAUAAAACAAGUAAUAUUUCUAGCUUCCUGCCAUAAUAGAUUUGUUAUUAUGUGUCUGCCUUGCCAAAAGAAAAAAAAAAACUCACAUCCUCUUAUUUUCCCUAGGCAUCUUUGUAACACAUGCAUGCUAUUGGAAUUACAGGAAUUUCAUAAGAAUCAAUUCAGUUCCUACAUGGCUUUAAGAAAAAAAAGUACAUCGUAUAGUCAAAUGGUCUUAGGUUACUUCUUGUCUCAACGAGUAUGAAUUUGACCAUAAUGGGUGCCUCCGAGAAUAACCAAACGAAACGUGACAGGCAGACUAGGGGCGUUAUGGGGACUUUCUUUCCGUUGAAAUAGGCGUUAUGCAGUAUUGGAGAUGCCACACAUGGUACGAUUAAGGGAUUUCUUUUCCGUGUUACUAGUAGAGUGCACGUGCAGCACGCAUGUGUCUUUAAAAAUCCUGUAAAUAAAAAAUGUUUGUUUAAAAAAAAUGUUUUCAAAAAUCUAUUAAAGACAGUGUUGAUACCUAAAUUGCUUUUUGACCUUUUGGAUAACUCUCGUCAUCAAUUACAUUGGUACUUAUGAAAUAUCACUGGAAUGGAAAGCUCUAUUCGAAGCUCCAAGUGCAAGCAGUAACUUAAUUUCAGUUUUAUGCCUCUCCCUUUCCCUCUCCUACAGUUUUAUGAACAACUCUAUCAUUCUCUCUCCAUCUCCAUCUCCAUCUCCAUCUCCCUCUCCCUCACUGGCCAAAGGCAGAAAAAAUCAUGAUACUUGAGAUAAACCUCCAAAACAAACUAUACCAUAUGCUACAUCCAAACAUAUAUUUUAGACUGAAUUUUACCGAGGUGAUCGAUAAAACACCCAAGAAUUAGAACAAGAAAAAGAUAUCUGUACCUCCACUCAACAAAAUUAUUUGCAACCACGCUAUAUUUCAGUUACCAAUUAGUGGAAAAAAAUCUGUGACUUGCUACUAUGCUAGAAUGCUAUUCUUCUAAACCAAAAACCGAUAAUUAACCAAUCUAAAAACCUGAGAGAUUUCAAUGAAGAAAAAACUAAAUCUGUGCCAAAGGUCACCCAAAGAUGCUAACCCAAACUAGAUGGAGUAAAAAGAUGUCGUUGCUAACUAAAUUAAGAUAUAUGGCCAAGUGUUAGGAAGAGAUCAACCUUUAGAUUCAGCCAAAGGCUAUGUGCAUAAGGAAAUGAUGCCCACUCAAAGGUAACUGUUUGAUAGAUUCGAAUAUGCACUAUGCAAAUUUAAACAGAGCAAUAAAUUGUGAUGGUUCAUCAUGCUAAUUUUCAAAACAUACGGUGCCAGGUUGGGGUUCUUAUGGUGUCUUAAAGCAAUGUCAAUGAAUUUGAUAGCUUAGGACAUCUGAUCCAGUAUGGUUUUAUAUGCUGACCUAUCUACUUGAGGUCUUUGACCUUGUGAGUUUGAUCUGCACCUGCUUGAAAGAGAACAUCAUAUGGUGCUCACAAAUAAGAUGCUUCAGAAAUAAUCAUGAUGGUCUUCAGAUUCUUGACAAAAUUAUUCAUGUGUACAGAUAAGUAAUGACCAGGGAUACAUCAGAAGUACAUAAUUGUCAUGAAAAAGUUGUUUUCAGCUUGAAGCAACAUGUCGUAUGAGCUAAUUCCAAUUACAAUGCAUUACACGAAAUUAAUUUUCCAUUGUUGGACAUAUUACAUGUGGUCUCUGAUGUCCCAUACUCCUUGUGCAGCAGACAAAUGGAGUUUUAAAAGAAAGUCAUAUAGAAAAAGUCUUAUCAGAUAUCCCAGAUCCUCAUGCUGCCAUGGACAGUUACACAUGCCUCCUGUGUCCCUGAUCCUAGUACAGAUCGAUGCACUUAGCAUCCCCACAAUCGAACAUGAUAGGAAAAUGGAAGAAGCACAAUCAGGUUUCUUUCCUAGGGAAAGAAUAGAAAAUUAUGUAAAACACAGAAAAACAUGGCAGAAGAGUGCACGCUUCACAGUUUCCCUUAUGAUUAGCUCCAUAUAUCAUCAUCUGUGUUGGCAUUCACAGGAUAUAUCAUCAUUUGUAUGCUGCAUUGCAAGCUGUUUAGCUUAAAGAAUUUUUCUCUCUUGAAGUAUGUUAACCAAGACAUACAUACCAUUUCUUGGUAAGCAGGAUGAAAGAGAGAAAAAAAUAGUGAUGAUCUCUGCACAGGAAAACAAGGCCUCUUUAAUUUCCUCCAUAAAAGGCAGUGAAAUGCUUUAGCAACAAUGUAAAGGUUAUAGCUUAUACUUACUGAGUAGCAGCAGUUUUUCUGACAUGCUUGCAUUGUUCUGAAAACCUGCAAGCUUUCCAUCGAAACUGAAAUUAUGAGAGUGUUGAUAACCUGAUUCUUGAUAUUCCAUUUCCAUCUGCUAAAGAAUUUUUUAACAAGCUGCUUUCAACAGUUAUAUCUGAAGGUAAAGGAAAUCCAAACUUUGGCAAGAUAGAAUCAACAAGGGAGCUCCUGUUUAAAGGCAGUUUACAUUUUAAACUUCAAAUCCUCACAUCUACCAGAAAGUCAAUUAGCUGAUCUGAAUGUAGGGUACCAAGUCAGAGAUGCAAGCAAACACUAACAAUCUUCGUCUCACAAUGACAGCUUAAGAGAUCCAAAUAAUUCUGAAUUCAUUGGUAAUUGGUAUUUUGCAAAGUGCAACUUCAAUAAGAAGCAUACAUGUCGCAUUGAGAAUGAAAACUAAAUGAUCGGAUCUCUAAAAAAGACCAUAGGGUUAAAGUAGGGACUAUAACAAGAGGGUACGGGAUGUAGCAAAAGGGUAUUCCCAUCCUAGAUAAUUUAUUUCAAAUAACUGGAUGUUGAUCAAUACUGAUAGGAGCGGAACAACUACAGACCUAGAUCAGGAAGUCCUGCCGGAAUUUACAUGACUGUAGGUCACCAAUUUCAUCAUAUUCAUGCGUGAUGAUCAAACUUCGCAACGAACUCGAUUGAAUUAUCUUACAGGAAUGAAAACUGCAGGAUGGCAUGAGUGUGUUUCCUUACCUGCAAAAGUUGGAAUCAACCGAAGGCCGGCAGUUCUCUAUUCCACGCAGAGGCGAUCCGCGAGGUAAAGGUCGGGGAUGAGCACGAAGAGGACAUCGGGGAUAAGCAUGGCUACACAGUGUAGGUGUUUAGAUCCGACAACCUAUUGAGAAGGUACCCGAGGUAGUAUUUUAUGCGUGGGGCUUGCUAAGAUCAGGAACUCGAAGAUGAACUCGAACACACGAUUUAGACAGGUUCGGACCACUUAUGUCGUGAAAUACCCUACGUCCUGUGUGUUGGUUAAAUUGUAUUGAUUGAAGUUGUUUGGAGGAGUCCUUGCCUCGUCUUGUAUUACUGUUGCUGGGGUAAGGUCGGUUAUUUUAUAAGAGUAUUAGUCGGAUUCGACUAGAGGUUCCACUCUAGUUGCUACGAGUAGUUUUCUAAUCCUCGACUAGUUCUUAUCCUUCACGUAGACCAUAUCGUCCUGCGUCGUAGUCUUCAUGUCUGACACCUCUCAGUAUACAACCCCGUAUCUAGGAUUGUCCAAGCCUCCCGGUGGGCUCAUAAAUGUAUGGCCGACAAGCUCCCGAGUACAUUUUAGUGAAAUGCAGCAGUCCUGAGUACUUCUGUAGACGUCUCUAACUAGUUUGUGGUGUGCUUCUUUGAGUACUCCAUCGGAUUGGAUCUUUGAAUGCGCUCGAGUACUGCCAUGCGGCUAGAAGGUGCUCAAGCCUCAUUUGACUUAGUCUUGAAUCUUGAAUCUUGAAUUUUAGAUGGAAGUACGAUGAAAAUCGCACUUCAUAUGGAGUAGCCCCCAAGCCUUAGGUUGAAUCGAAGAAUCAGGCUGAGGUUCAAUCUUUUAAUUUCACAUCUUUUUUUCCUUUAAAAUCCAAAAAAAACUUUUUGUCCAAUGGGCACGUGGCACACAGCCCCCGAGCCGUUACACGACUAGUUUGGGGUAUAAGGGUCAACCUUUGGUCAACAUGACCAUUCGACUUCAGUAACCUUAUCUUUUCCAAAAAAAUUGGAAAUUGUUCCAGCAAAAACUGAGAGUUUUUUAAAAAUGGAAUAUUCCCCGUAAUUUUCAUCUCUUGGUUAACUGUGCCACGGUUCUAAAUAAUGGAGGGACUCAUCCCUUUCCAUUUCACCCAAGCCAUUGCGCCCAUUCAUCUCCUGCACUGUAGCCCUAGCGCCACCACUUGCCAUUCUCGAGCUCAAGUGCCCUCCUCCUCCACUGCCUAGCCCCGUGCUUAUGCGCAAGAAGAUCUGUGUGGCAGUGGCACUGAAGAAAGCAUCGUCUAGCAAGGAGGCAGAGACAAAGAAGCACAAGACCACCAAGAAGGAGAAAGAGCUCCAGCUGCCGACACCGAAGUACGGCAAGACGGAUCAGACGGUGUCGGCUAGGCACCCCUGGGCCCACUAGAAGACUUACGGACCCACUCAAGGGAACCUACCCGAAAUCUAAUUGGACAUGAAGCUACCCGGCAGGGCACGUAGACUUCAUUUAAUCGGACAUGAAGACUACCCUGCAGGACGCGUAGACUUCAUUUACUCCCCGAAAACUAGUCGGGUCAGAAGGAAACUGCUCUACCGAGUUCGAGUAGGACUCUGUAAAAUGUACUCGACUAGGAAUUGUACAAUCCGCACUGUAACCCUACUCCCCCGACUAUAUAAGGGCGGGCAGGGACCCCCUCCAAAACAGAGAACACAACUCGAUCCAAGUUCAAUACAAAACAACAUACAGGACGUAGGGUAUUAUGCAAUCUAGCGACCUGAACCUGUCUAAAUCGUGUUCCUUGCGUCACCCUGGACUCCUUGAUUCUCGACGACACCCACCACAUAAAAGACCACCUAGGGUACCCUCUAGGCGGGUUGCCGGUCUAAAACAUCGAUAGUUGGCGCGCUAGGUAGAGGAAGUCGCCGAGUUUCUCCGCGCGAGAUCGAUGGCACCAGUCGUCAUCAAGCCUGUUUUUUCCUUUAAGGCGGGCGCAACCUUCGUCUUUGGCUUCUGGCUUUGCAUCGCUUAAGGCACUGGAUCUUUUCAACACCACAUCAUCGGCAACCAGGAAAAGAAGCACGUCGACGAGAAUUUUUCUUCAAACAGAGGAUCUCGCCAAGAAAAUUCAAAAUUUCAACGUCAACGACAACGAGAUCGACUAUGGUUCGGACUCGACCUCGACUCGGACUAGCCCACACAGGCUGACGCCCAAGUUAUCCCGCAAGUCGAUUUCAACUCGAAGUCGAUUCCCGCACGGACUCCGCAACACGGCCAUGGUCCACCAAGGUUUUCUCACUCGAAUCCAAUCUGAACCCGAGUCAGUCAAGGACUGCGACUACGACUCGGACUACAUCCAAGAGAUCCCUUUAUUAGGCCCAGCUCAAGGCUUAGUAAUUACUUCAACCCCACAUGAAAGAUUCGUUUAUUGGCCUGAAAUGAAGCCAUCUUUCACAGCCCAAGAUCACGAGUCACGCCUCGUCGCUCACAUAGACAACCUCCCGUAUCAGGAAGGCAUCCCGCUUACUUCAACAUACGAAGAAGGAAGAACUAUGGAGAUUGCAACAUCAAGCUCUGGAAGCUACUACCCGGACAGAGAAAUCUUUAUCAUCACAUCACAAAACAACGAUGCGGGCGCUAGCCUCCAGAGAACUCCUCGACGAGUUACACAACUCGAUGACAUCUCAUAAGACGAAUCAUCAGCUAACGCCCCACAAGAUGAAACUUCUAAACAAAGAAAUCAAAGAAGAGCACGCAAUGCUUCUUGAGCAGAUCGUCGCCGACUACUAGCUACAAACAUUCCUAUCAUAAACCUCGAAAGAGCAUUCAACGCAGUGCAAGCUCGAGAGCACAACACUCCACUUGCAGCAAUUGCCUCAAUCAAUCUCAUAUCAUUUCUUAUACCUCAUGACAGAGACAACGAGUUAGCACCACAACUCGCAGAACGAGGCAACAGGUUAAUAGCACAAUUUGCAGAGCAAGCUUACAAAUUACUCUACAAAGAAUCUCCAAUCCCAUCUGUUCCUCGCAACUCGGCCCAUCAAAAUGGCAGCAGAGACAUCACAGUCCACGGUGGCCAUUGCGAGGCCCCAAGAAAAAGUAACGAAGUAGUCAACCAGCCAAAGCAACAUAGUCAAAGGCAAAACAGAGAGGAAUGCGAGAUCCCAAGGCAAAAUAAGGAUGCAGGAGAAGCUACCUGCACUAACUCUACAAAGAGCCCUCAUCACUACAGAGCUGAUCGCAAAGCUUCAAUUUUUAUUGACCUAAGAGAGGUCAUCAAUAAUAACCGUUGCCGCGAACGCGAAGUCGAUGACUAUAACCAUUUCCCCGCCUUCACCACACGAGUAAUGAGGACCAAACUACCCAAAAAGUUCAAGCCAAUAGGGAUCACCAAGUAUGAUGGCAAGCAAGAUCCAAUCCAAUGGCUACGGUGCUACUCACUAGCAGUUCAAGCAGCCGGGAGCAAUGAUGAUACAAAGGUCAUUCACUUCCCCAUAUGCAUGGAACCUACACCGUUAACAUGGCUUGAGUCACUCAAGCCCAGAUCCAUCGACUCCUGGGAAGACUUGACAAAGGCUUUUACCAACAAUUACUCGGGCUCCAUGUCUCAUCUAGGCAACAAAGUUGAUUUAAGUCAAGUCAAACAGGAAGAAAGUGAAACACUACGCGACUAUCUACGACGUUUCUUUGAAAAGAAAGCUACAAUAGUUGACAUUUCAAAAACAGACGUCAUUGAGUGCUUUCAAAAUGGCCUUUAUGAUCAUUGAACAUACCAGGACUUUGGCAGGCGUCGACCAGCCACCAUCAAAGAUCUCAAAAUCAUGGUACAACAAUGGGCAGAUGAAGAAGAUAAAGAACAUGAAAGAUUUGGCUCUCAUCACAACCGUGGUCGUGACAACAACAACACUCAUGAGCAAGACAGAAGCUGAAACAAUGAUACUAGAAACAACUACCCGGGUAAUCAGAAUUGCAAGCGCAAACCUGAUAACACUGUUGCAACUAUGACCAACUCAGGCAAAAAAGGGUCACACAAAUGCCAUGAUGGGCCCUCCUUCACUGAGUUACUCAAGAAACAAUGCCCAUGGCAUCCGAACAGCAAACACUCAAUGAUAGAUUGCUACAGCAUGCGCCAAGUAAUGCAAGAAUUACCUGCACCACCCCAUCCCGAAGUCUUUGCUCAAAAGAAGGACAAGGGUAAGGGCAAAGUCAACAAAGAUGACGAAGGUGAAGGCGAGUUCCAGACUGCCUCUAAAACAGUCAACAUCAUUUUUGGUGGAAUCCCGGGUACCACAUCCAAGCGGUCUAAUAAGUUAGUACUCAAAGAGAUUAUGGCUAUCCAGCCAGUAGCUCCCACACCAGUCAAAUGGUCUGAGGUACCCUUAACUUUCAGCAGAAAGGACCAAUGGACAAGUUUCUCAGAACCAGGACAUUGCCCUCUAGUACUCGACCCUAUCAUUGCAGGCUCAAGACUGACCAAGGUACUCAUCGAUGGUGGAAGCGGACUCAACAUCAUUUUUGCCAAAACACUAAGGAAAAUGUGCCUCGACAUCACUAACAUGCUCACUCCAACAGACUCCUUCUAUGGGAUUGUCCCAGGAAAUGCGGCUAUACCACUAGGACAAGUCAUCCUACCAGUCACUUUCGGCACCAAGGAACAUUACCGAACCGAGUACAUCAGGUUCGAGGUCGCCGACUUUGAAACUUCUUACCACGCCAUACUCGGCAGGCCAGCCCUGGCCAAAUUCAUGGCCAUACCACAUUACGUGUACCUGGUACUCAAGAUGCCGGGACCUAAGGGCGAGUUGACACUACGGGGAGACCUAAGGCGAAUACGAGUGCAACACAGAAGCUGUAGAAAUUGCAACGACUUCUCAAGCACCCAGCCCCAUGCAACAAGUCUUCUCGGCUUCAAAGAAACUCAGCCCCACAGAACUCGAGAUCCCAGAAAACAAGUUAGGAUCAACGAAAGUAAAACCAGCAAGCGAAAAGGACUUCAAAACUGUCGAUCUCCAGACUGGUGACUCAUAAAAAACUGCCCUGAUUGGAACAGGGCUAGACCCUAAAUAGAAAAAUGCGCUCGUCAGCUUUCUUGGGCUAACCACGACAUCUUCGCUUUGAAGCCAGCUGACAUGCCCGGUGUGCCCAAGGAGCUGAUUGACCAUUCACUAAACGUCGACCCCAAAGCCACCCCAAAAACACAAAGACUACGAAGGUUCGCCCAAGAUAGAAGAUAUGCAAUCAAAAAAGAACUAGCCAAACUACUCGCAGCAGGGUUCAUCAAAGAAGUUUUACAUCCUGAUUGGCUAGCCAACCCAGUACUCGUGCGCAAGAAAAAUAAUGAGUGGAGGAUGUGCGUCGACUACACAUAUCUCAACAAACAUUGCCCAAAGGACCCCUUUGGACUACCUAGAAUUGACCAAGUAGUCGACUCCACAGUUGGGUGUGCUUUACUUUGCUUUCUCGACUGCUAUUCAGGUUAUCAUCAAAUAGCCCUCAAAGAAGAGGAUCAAGCCAAAACAGCUUUCAUCACCCCGUUUGGUGCAUUUUGCUACAAAACAAUAUCUUUUGGACUAAAAAGUGCAGGGGCAACGUAUCAACGCGCCAUAUAGAUGUGUUUCGAGAAACAACUACACCGCAACGUAGAAGCUUAUGUAGACGACGUUGUCGUCAAAAUAAGAAAUCCGGAUGAUCUAGUCACAAAAUUAGAAGAAACCUUUGCAAGUCUUCGAGCAUUUCGGUGGAAACUUAACCCUACCAAAUGUGUUUUCGGUGUACGUUCCGGAAAAUUACUCGGAUUCAUUAUUAGCCACCGUGGCAUCGAGGCCAAUCCAGAGAAAAUAUCUGCCAUCACAAAUAUGCAAGCUCCAGCUGGCAUCAAGGAUGUGCAGAAGCUCACAGGCUACAUGACAGUACUUAAUUGAUUCAUCUCAAGACUUGGAGAACAUGGAUUACCCUUCUUCAAGCUACUCAAAAGACAGGAAAAGUUUCAGUGGACAGAGGAAGCAGACAGAGCCUUGACACAGCUCAAGGACUUUUUGUCAAAACAACCAAUCCUCACGGCUCCAUCUCUAGAUGAAGACUUGCUCCUGUACAUAGCUGCCACUACUCAUGUCAUCAGCACAACAAUAGUAGUCGAAAGGUCUGAACCAGGCCAUGUCUACAAAGUCCAGAGACCCAUCUACUUCGCCAGUGAAGUACUUUCGGACUCCAAAACCCAGUACCCACCGGUACAGAAGCUACUCUACGCAAUCCUACUUACUUCACAAAAGCUGCGACAUUACUUUCAAGAACACACCAUAUCCGUCAUCACCGACUUCCCACUGGGCGAAAUCCUUCACAACAGGGAUGCAAUGGGUAGGAUCUCCAAAUGGGUGGUAGAACUCGGAGCUCUAUCUCUAGACUUCAAACCCAUAACAGCUAUCAAAUCCCAAGCUCUGGUUGAUUCCAUGGCAGAGUGGAGGGAAAACCAUGUACGAAUACCAGUCGAAAGGCCAGAAUAUUGGGUUAUGUACUUUGACGAUUCCCUCAAGCUUGAAGGCACUGGCGCAGGAGUGCUCCUAAUUUCUCCAAAGGGUGAACAACUAAAAUACAUUCUCCAGAUCUUUUGGGAAGUUUCAAAUAAUGAAGCCGAGUACGAAGCACUACUACAUGGUCUUUGUCUCGCAAUCUCACUCAGAAUCAAACGACUACUGGUAUAUGGUGACUCACUAGUCGUCAUUAACCAAGUCAAUGAUGACUGGGAUCGCAACAAGGAAAACAUGGACGCCUACUACAAGGAAGUCUGCAAGCUAGAAAACAAGUUAUCAGUCCUAGAGUUCCACCAUGUCAUCCGCAACAACAAUGUAGCUGCUGAUGUGUUAUCAAAAUGGGCUCAACACGUGCAGAAGUUCCAGGAGGGAUUUUUGUACACGAGCUUCGCAAGACCUCCAUACCAGAACAAUUUACUCCAGCAACUACCACAACAAAACCUCCAGAACCCAGCCGAGAGAUCAUGAUGAUCGAAGUCGACUGGAGAUCACCAUUCAUCGACUACAUUAAGGAACAAUAGCUACCAUCUGACAAAAACCAAUCCGAACAAGUCUCACGAUGAGGAAAGAGCUAUGUUCUAGUUGGAGACAAGCUCUACAGAAGGAGCGCAUCUUCUGGAAUACUCAUGAAAUGUGUCACCCGAGAAGAAGGCCAAGAAAUCAUGGAUGAAAUACACAAAGGAAUUUGUGGUAAUCACGCCUCUUCACGAACAAUUGUAGGCAAAGCUUUCAAAGCAGUCUUCUAUUAGCCUAUGGCACUUGCCGACGCGAAACAGCUAGUUCGCAGAUGCCAAGGCUGCCAAUUCUUUGCCAAGCAACAGCAUACCCCCGCCUACAAGCUCAUCACAAUACCUCCAACAUGGCCUUUCGCAUGCUGGGGGCUUGACAUGAUACGCCCACUCCCAACUGCGCUAGGAGGGUUCAAUCGAGUACUCGUAGCCAUCAACAAAUUCACCAAGUAGAUUGAGGUCAAACCUGUCACUUGUCCCAAAGCUGACCAAGUCCUCGACUUCCUUGAUGAGAUUGUGCAUCGAUAUGGCUUCCUCAACAGGAUCAUCACUGAUUUGGGAUCUAACUUCAACAAUCACGACUUCCGGGAAUACUACGAGAAUAACGGAAUUGACGUAUGAUACGUCUCCGUCGCUCACCCAAGGGCCAAUGGCCAAGUCGAACAUGCCAAUGGCAUGUUACUCGAAGCUCUCAAGAAAAGGUUGCACGACAUUGGCAACACGAAAGGAGGCAAGUGGCUCAAUGAACUACCCAAUGUUCUUUGGGGUCUGCAUACUCAACCAUGCAAGCCUACUGGGCACUCUCCCUACUUCCUCGUAUAUGGGUCAGAGGCCAUCCUCCCUGCAGACAUCAUGUGGCAGUCUCCCGCAGUUGAACAGUAUGACGAAGGAGUAUCAGAAGAAACAAGACGCCUAGACCUUGAUAGUCUGAAAGAAACAAGAUGUGCAUCAAUGGUUCAGUCAGCCAGAUAUCUUGAUGGACUACGAUGCUAUCAUGAUCGUAAUGUCAAAGAACGUUCUUUCAACGUGGGUGACAUGGUCCUUAAACGCACCCAAGACACAUCAGGAUUGCACAAACUCAACUCACCAUAAGAAGAUCCUUACGUCAUAUCCAAGGUCACAGAGCGUGGAUCAUACCGGCUAUAGGAACUCUCAGGCAAAGAAAUACAAAACUCUUGGAAUAUAGAGCAUUUGUGUCACUACUACCCAUAGCAGACUGCAGGGUAUGUACCCGGGUAUUCACUCACAGUUUAUUAAACAAUAAAGUUCUCGGGCAAACACUUUGCCUCCGUUCGGCUAUUCACAGCCACUCUAGAUCUACAGCUCUGCGAGCCCCAACGCUUCGCUUUUGACUUGAUUCCAUCAAGUCUCUUCGAGUCAUCACAACUCGUCGGCUAUUCAUAGCCACUCGAGCUCUAUAGCUCUGCGAACCCUAGCGCUCCACUUUUGACUUGAUUCCAUCAAGUCUCUUUAAGUUAUCACAACUUGUCGGCUAUUCAUAGCCACUCGAGCUCUAUAGCUCUACGAGCCCCAGCGCCCCACCUUUUGACUUGAUUCCAUCAAGUCUCUUCAAGUUAUCAGAACUCGUCGACUAUUCACAAGCCACUUGAGCUCUACAGCUCUGCGAGCCCCAACGCUUCGCUCUCGACUUGAUUCCAUCAAGUAUCUUUGGGUUAUCACAACUCGUCGAGCCAUUUGAAGCUUUUCAGCUGAGUUCCAAUACUCUCACCUCUACAAGACAAACGGCUUCAGCAAGCCACGACUAUUGCGUUAGUCAUUUUUACCCUUCAAAAAAAAGCACAAGACUCGCAAUUAUCAGACAAGGAGUACUCAAGUUUACUUCAUAAUUGCAUCCUUUGCAUUAACAAAGCUCCACAGAGUUACAUUCGACUAUUCAAUGAAGCUAGGGUAUACAAAAUACAACACAAUGGCACAACGACUACAAGCAGUUGCCUACUGGCAGUCAGAAUAGAAGUCCUAGGCUUUUACUAUAUCACAAGGAUACACAGGCCUGGUGACUUCUCGACUACCAAGGUGCAAGCAGUGUCAAAAGGCAGGACCUGCACACGAGGAAGCUACGCAAUACGCAGCCAUAACCUGGUCCUCUUCCCUGACAACACCAGGAAUUCCUUCACCGCCGCUCCCUUGACGGCGACAAAGAUCAGGAAGAAAAGUACCAAGAAGAUGAAGUGCACUACCCGAGCUGCUCCCUGGACAGCUUCAGUGCACAGAUCCACACUGUAUGCAACACCUCCACCUCUAAUCAGAGAGCCGGAUAAAGACCGCGGCGCUCAUCACCCAUCACCCGCGAGUUCCAGCGCGGACUGAGCUGGAUCAGGACUUGCAAGAUGAGGCACGCGACAAACCCUCCUAUGAGGAUUCUUCUAGCAUCGCGGCUAUCCCUACGAGUGCAGGAGUCUGUGGAGGGAAGGUGGCUCUAAUUUAUGAGGAAUCUUCUAGCACCGGGGCACUCUUUGGAAGGUCUCUACUAUCAAACAAAAGUAACCUAAAGCAAGCCAUCACCAUACUGAAGGGCACGAUCCUGGUCGAGUACCCAGGGGCUUAUUUAUAGCUGAAGGGCCACAGCCGCCAACUACUUAGAGUUACCGCUUGCUUGUGACGAUCAGCUUGAGACACUGACAAACGACGGAUAGACACUUUAACUACAUGCUCGUGACCGCACCGAGCAUAGAAGACAAAAAUGAACAGUUCACCCGUGCAUCGCCCCAAGUACAAAGCAAUAAAAGUCACAGUACCUUCAACAACAACUCCAAUAAUUGAAGAGCAUACCGGAUACUACGACUACUCAAUUACUCGGAUUUGUUUUCCCAACUACAAAGCCAAUCAAAUGAAGAUCAUCGAUCACAGAACUCAAAUAAACAAGAUUUACAAGGCAAAUUGUUUAAGUACACCAACGAGUACUCGACAAUAAAUAUCACUCAAGUUCAAAAGAUCAGGGUUCCUCCAAAGAUACAAACUCAGACAUCUUUGCCGCAAUCGGCUCAGCCUCCUUAAGAUACUGCACAUAGGCAUCCUUUGUGCAGUUCUAGGCAACUCCAUCACCAGCCGCCGACAAGUCUGCCCUCGAGUAAUACGGCUUGACCACUGCAAGGACUUGCUUGCAGACAGUCUUAAAUAGUCUAGCAACUCUACCCGGGGUAGCUCUUAGUCUCUCGACCAGCAAGCGAGGCUCAGCAUCAUCUUCAAGUGGAGCACUGGCGUUGACUACAUCCUGAGCAGCAGCAGUCAAAUCCUGAAGAUCUCCUUCUAGCCGUUCAAUAGUUCUACCAUGGCUUUUGCAGGACACCAUAGCCAACGCCAGCAUCACUCCAUUCCGAUUCUUCCUAUCUUUCUCACACUCAUAGGCCGCUUGAGUUUCAGCCAACACUUUCCUAAGAUGGGCAGCCUCGUCAGCUACCCAAUUUUGAGCAUUUCUCCAAUCAAGCAAUUGACUACUCGUAGCGGCCUCUUUGCUUUUAAGCUCUGCGCCAAAAACAUCAUAGAUCAGAAUUUACAACUACAAUCAAACAUACUCAAGAACUAUGAGUACUCACCUUGAUAUCUCUAGUUCAGAGAUCAAUAACGACUCUCCAAUCAUUACUGGAGGACUUCAUGAUCAUUCCUUUCAAUUGCAAAAGACUUGGCAGCCUCCUCAUGAACUCUCAGGGAAUCUGCAAGGUGGUGACACUCUUGCUCCAGUUGCGCUACCCGCUGCAGGGCUUCACUGCGCUCUUGAAGAGCUCAAGUGUUUCUCUGAGCCUUGUCAUACAGAUCCUUCAACACAAAACAAGUCGUCAAGACUUGUCAAAACACAAAAAGAUAGAAAAUGAGUUAUGACGCACCUCAAAGCUUUUGAUAACUCUCCUAAUCUCCGACUCUGGUGGCAAUUCGAAUACUGGACCACUAGUACUCUUGGCAACUUCAAGCUCCAGCUCUCUACCCACAACAAACUCUGAAGACAAACCAUGAUCAGCCACUAGAAACAAGAGAGUACCCCUUCCAAAAAACAUCUACGUACUUGUUGUGCCGACUUCACGCACUUUUGUUGCAACAACUAGAGACAAAGCUUUAGCACCAGUUGUACUCACAGUGGACGCAACUUCAGUCGUUGAAGGCGGCACACCUGAAAAACUCUCGGGGACUGACGGGCCCACUACUGAGCGGAUAACCUCCUGAAGCAUGGAUAUAGUAGCACCUAGACAACUUGCGUCGUCAAUCUCAGGUGCAUCAUCCAUAGUCAAGUCGACCAUGGGCCUAGAGAGUAUAGCUGGCGGAUUAGCCUCCGUCCCCACCUCCAAAGGAAUAAUGUCUUCUGCAUCCCUGGAUCACCCAAGUCGCAAGAUCAUAAUCUGACUACAGAGUACAAAAUCAUCAAGAGGAAAUAUUACACAAACCCUUACUGAGAUGAUCGCGGUGGCAAACGAACACGCUUCUUCUUGGCUACCACCGGCUGGAUACUCGGCACCACUGGGGCUGCGGGAGGAAGGUCCUCCACUCCGUCACCAAGACCUGACAAAACCAAGGUUGAGACUACGUACGCACGACUACCAGAAUAGAUUGCAUACUCACCAUCGGCAACAUUGUCAAACAACAAAGCGUCAGCAGCCAUCCCUGGUGUCUUCAGAGCAUCUGCCAUCAGAAGUUGUGGCCUCAUCACCUAGUGACUUGAUAGCCUGCUCGGGGGCUACCAACUCGGGGGCUAUUGGUGCAGAAGCUACCUGCUCAGCGGCAGUUGAUCCCGAGUUCAAAGGCGGCACCUCCAUAGGCGGCUCUUCUAAGCCAUGAUGCUAGUAGUUGCGUCUCUAGCAAGCAUAACUACUUCAUCAAAAGUAGCCUCAUCAUCACCAAAGGUCAACUCGGCAGCCUUUUCAACACACAGACUAACAUCGUCAGUAUUCUGCAAAUAAUACGAUUGUCAACGAAAAACUCAAAAAAAAAA